Molecule: ribosomal RNA, 531 nt
Filed under: Peziza echinospora
Lineage: Eukaryota; Fungi; Ascomycota; Pezizomycetes; Pezizales; Pezizaceae
Description: eukaryotic LSU rRNA
Rfam family: Eukaryotic large subunit ribosomal RNA
Source: RNAcentral
AUUGCCUCAGUAACGGCGAGUGAAGCGGCAAAAGCUCAGAUUUGAAAUCUGGCGUCAUAUUGGCGUCCGAGUUGUAGUCUGUAGAGGAGUAUUCGAGUGUGGCGCUGGCUUAAGUUCCUUGGAACAGGACGUCAUAGAGGGUGAGAGCCCCGUUAACGGCCUUUGUCUUAUGCUCAUGUGAAUCUCCUUCAACGAGUCGAGUUGUUUGGGAAUGCAGCUCUAAAUGGGUGGUAAAUUCCAUCUAAAGCUAAAUACUGGCAAGAGACCGAUAGCGCACAAGUAGAGUGAUCGAAAGAUGAAAAGAACUCUGAACAGAGAGUUAAAUAGUACGUGAAAUUGUUGAAAGGGAAGCACUUGCUACCAGACACGCCUGUGGUUGAUCAGCCUUCAUUCUUUGAUGGUGCACUCGGCCACAUGGUGGGUCAGCAUCAGUUAUGGCGGUGGGAUAAAGACUUGGGGAACGUGGCUUCUCUCGGGAAGUGUUAUAGCCCUGGGUGUAAUACCGCCUGCUUGUGACUGAGGACCGCGCCC